UGGCUUUGGAGAAGGAAAUCCAGAUGCAGCUCCAGGACGAGGAGGCACAUCCUGGUUUUCAGCAGUCCCUGGCUGAGGAGCUCAGAUGGUCCAUGAGGAGGAUUAUCUCAGACCCUGAGUUUUUUAUGGAAAGGAAUUAUGAAAUGACCACAGAGGAGACGUCAAACCUGGGGUAAGCCGGCCAUUACCUUUCCUCACCUGUCAGCAGCCAGACAGCCACAUGAAGCUGCUUCUGCGAGCCCACAGCCCUGGAGAAGACCCCAUUCUCUGUUAGGUGCAAAGUUGUGCUGGGAAGGAGCUGCCUCCUUUUUCUUCAGAUCUUGCCCCAUAGGUGGCCGUCUGAUUUAAGGCAGCUCCAUGUGGAGACCGGAUCCUUUCCUUCACCUGACCAGGGGCUGAGAGGGAAUACCUGGGACUGAGUUCCAGCUCGAUCCCUUUACUAGCUGUGUGUCCUUGGGCAAGUCACUUGACCUGUCUGAGCCUUAC
Long non-coding RNA from Hipposideros armiger (great roundleaf bat), 486 nucleotides. RefSeq lists it as uncharacterized. The record is from RefSeq and is a predicted model, not a curated record. Lineage: Eukaryota; Metazoa; Chordata; Mammalia; Chiroptera; Hipposideridae. The transcript is spliced from 3 exons.